This 486-nucleotide ribosomal RNA is filed under the name uncultured bacterium. RNAcentral's name for it is "bacterial SSU rRNA". It matches the Rfam family "Bacterial small subunit ribosomal RNA", at positions 15 to 507 of the family's 1533-position model. The record is from RNAcentral.
GAUCCUGGCUCAGAUUGAACGUUGGCGGCAGGCCUAACACAUGCAAGUCGAGCGGGGUUUUCGGACCUAGCGGCGGACGGGUGAGUAAUGCGUAGGAAGCUACCCGACAGAGGGGGAUACCAGUUGGAAACGACUGUUAAUACCGCAUAAUGUCUACGGACCAAAGUGUGGGACCUUCGGGCCACAUGCUGUCGGAUGCGCCUACGUGGGAUUAGCUAGUUGGUGAGGUAAUGGCUCACCAAGGCGACGAUCCCUAGCUGGUUUGAGAGGAUGAUCAGCCACACUGGAACUGAGACACGGUCCCAGACUCCUACGGGAGGCAGCAGUGGGGAAUAUUGGACAAUGGGCGCAAGCCUGAUCCAGCCAUGCCGCGUGUGUGAAGAAGGCCUUCGGGUUGUAAAGCACUUUCAGCGAGGAGGAAGGGUUGUGUGUUAAUAGCACAUAGCCUUGACGUUACUCGCAGAAGAAGCACCGGCUAACUCUGUG